Varanus komodoensis (Komodo dragon) is the source of this 3047-nucleotide long non-coding RNA. RefSeq lists it as uncharacterized. The transcript is spliced from 2 exons. Lineage: Eukaryota; Metazoa; Chordata; Lepidosauria; Squamata; Varanidae. The record is from RefSeq and is a predicted model, not a curated record.
UUAAAGAGCCGCCCGCUGCCCCAGCCCGGCCUGGCUUAUCCGAUUCGCUAAUUCGCCACGGUGAGGGUGCAAGCCUCACUGUUCCGGCUUCGAACAGGGCCGUCGGAUAGCGUUCCGUUGGUUUUUGGGAAUGCUGCUCUGGGUUGAUUUAGUCCAAUCGUUCUCCAUAACUGCUUCAGUGCGUGGAACUGCUCUUACGGGCAGAGAAUGACGCUAGAGAGAAAAUUGCUCAGGAAACGUUAAGCAGGUUUUGUUAGUUUCAAGGCAGGUUUUUUAAAUCGUUCACAAUAUUGGCAGAACGGAUUGAGGCAAGGUUCCUUUGUUGCCCCGGUAAAUUACAUUUCCACAAAUGGAAUUUGCAAAAGAAAGCUUCAGAAGGAAGUGGUUUUUUGUUUGUUUUUUGAGAGAGAAAGAGCCAGCCAAGCUUUUUCCGAAGAUAGCUCCAUUCUGUGCUCUAUCAUAUUUCACAGCAGAACUUACUGGACUGUUUCCAACAUUAGUUGUGCUUAUGCAAACGCUGCGUUUCCUCCAGAUUACCUGAACGUCCUUCUGGUGAUGGACUUGGUUACUGCUCAGCAGGAUCAAGAGGAGGCAAACCAAGCGGAAUCAUACUGAUGAACUGCCUAGGCUAGAAGCCUGUAAACACCAUGCCCAACUAGAUUUCUGGUUGGUAGACAUUCCAUAGACAUGAGUAUAUCUCGGCAAAUGGUAUCUUAUGGCACUUGUUCCUUUUGACCUAUCAUAAGCCUGGAGGGAACUCUUUUCGGGAAAGGAAAUUUAACAUAUUCAGGUAAAGAAAUGGGGUAGAAAAAAUUUAAAAGAAUACUGUGUUGGUUCUGUAAUUUUCAAAGUAGCACAACUUGUUGCCAGUUCUGACUCAACAUUGUUAUGCCACAAUAUAUAGACCACUAAUUUGGUUCUGAAGCCAGUCUUGAGAUGCUCAAGGAAGAAAAAUGACAAUUUUCCAGGCAGUGGACUUUUGUCUUAUUAAAAUAUGCAGCCUUCCCUUUAUUCUUGCUGAUACCAGCAUAGAAAUAACAUAAAAGCCAACAUAUCUGACCUGACAUCUUUUGAAUGGAAAAUACAACUCGUAGUUGUAUUUUCGCUGUCAGAGAAAGAGGUACUAGUAGGAUUUUCUGUUUCGGGGGAAAAAUAGCUUUACUGAUUUUGAGUACUGUGCACUUAGAAGUUGUGAGGUGCCAUUUGUUGCCCUUCCUAAGGCAGCAAAAUAUUUUUGUGUCCAGCCCAGGACAUCCCUAGAAAGACUUGUGGGAUGGGGAAAAGAAGCUGAGAUGUUGUAAGAAAUUAUGUGGGGUAAAGGAAUACCUAUGAAAACAUGAUCAGGAUCAUAUCAAACUUAUUGCCUACCUCUAAAUAAGCAUAAGUUUGAUAAGCCAUACCAAGUUCAGUUGGAUUUACUCCAAGUGUAGGUCUAGAAUCUCACUUCAUAUGUUCAGACCUGUAAUUUGAAUAUAGUUCCAAGAUUUAGAUCUAAAGAGAAACCCAGGGAUCACACAUUCUGGUAAUUUUGAAAUGUCAACAGUUAAAGCCAGUGUGCAGUCAAGUGUUGUACUAUGACUUGGGAUAUCCAGAUUCUGGCCCCCAUUCAGCCAUGAAGCUUACAGGGUGAUUUUUGGGCCAGUUCUCGAUUCUCAACCUCCCUCCCUCAGUGUGAAAAUAGAAAUUUUGUAAACCACCUUGGGUUCCAUAGAGAAAUAAAAACCCCAAAUCCAUAGUUUGGCCAUACUUUAUUUCAGGAAUUUUUAUUGUCCAGCUAUGCAUUCUGAUAUGAUGAGGUUGCUAGUAACAUAGCAUUUGUUACUGAUCUUAGGACUUCCAGAAAUUAGAACUCAAAAACUGUAAGAAAGUGAGAAUUACAGGUAUUACCAUAAGGCACCAUUUUUGGCAGCCCCCUUUCUACCUUCUUACCCAGUCCAGAGACCAGAAGUUGCAAAACAGCCUUCUCCAGUCCUGAGGUCUCUGCAAGUGCUGUUGUGUGGGAGACAGAGCAAAUGGGAGAUUUUCUCAGAAAUUCCACUAUACUUAAUGAGGGUUACUCCUAAUAAAUGUGUAAGUUUGCAACUUAAGAGCAUAAGGUUCUUGUUGUCUACAGUACAUUGCCACAAUCUCCCUUGCCAGUGUGCCAAUGUUCAGUUUGCAAUUAAUUGGGAAAUGAUUAAUGUUCCAUACAGUGCUUUGCUAGUCCUAGGCUCUAUCCUUAAUCUGGAUUUGAGCCUGAAAGACUAGGAAAAAGUGUGGGGACAUAGAGAGUAAGUGUGAAGCAAGCACAAUUUGGGACAUUGCACAGUUCUGUCCUGAAAGCAGGCAAGAAAUUAAUUAGUUUGUCUUCUGUAAAAUUUACAUCAUACUUAUUCUUAAGCAUGUACAUGUACAAAUUAACAUAUUAUUUAGUCCACAGAACAUUUUGCAAACUAUAAAAAGUACAUGUACAUUUAUGCAAGUCUCUUCCAUACUUGGCACCACUCCUAAGCAAAAGGAAUGAAGUAAGGAACACAUCCUUUUUCAAGCUGAUGAUCAAGGUAUAUGAAGGCACUGAACUGCAAUAAAGCACAAAGAUUUUGGCAACAACAGAACUAACAUCCCAAAGUUAUGGCAAUAGGUCAAGCACUUGAGAAGAAUCUCAGAAUAUAGAAAAGAAUGGGAAAGAAAAACAGAGAAGCCAGAAUUCCACUGCAGCGCUUCAUCUAUUACCUGUUUUUAUCGUUAUCUGGUCAGAAUUUCCAUACCAUACUUUUUAAGCAAUGCCCUGGGCUUUAAGAUGCAUAGUUUUGUGUGGAUGUUAUAUAGAACAAUGUGAUAGGUGCUACUGUUGUCUAGCAAUGAUGUAACUAAUCUAGUCCAGUAUUUCCUAGGUAAUUCCAGAGACCAUGAAAUUGUAUUUAAUAACAGACAAUAUUUUAUUGAACAAUUCUAUUUACAAUACAAAAAGUUUCAAAUGAAAUACCACUGUUGAUUUAUUGCAGUUUGAUGGCUCAGUUUUAAUUUGUACUCAUAUAAAAUGCAAAAUAAAAUAAUUUAACAUUCAA